RNAcentral lists this ribosomal RNA (737 nucleotides) under Acrostichus sp. 6 NK-2020. Its description in RNAcentral is "partial 28S ribosomal RNA". It matches the Rfam family "Eukaryotic large subunit ribosomal RNA", at positions 367 to 944 of the family's 3401-position model. Lineage: Eukaryota; Metazoa; Nematoda; Chromadorea; Rhabditida; Diplogasteridae. The record is from RNAcentral.
AAAAGAACUUUGAAGAGAGAGUUCAAGAGGACGUGAAAUCACCUGGAUCGAAGCGGAUAGAGUUGACGAAAUCGGCGGCAUUCAGAUCGUGCGUUGCUGUCGAGGCGGCUGGCGUCUUUAAUGGCGUUGUAAGUCCGAUAGACGGUGGCGUUUCGAAUUGCACUUGUCGUCGGUAGACGCUGAGGAGGCCGAUUGCCCCUUCCGAAGCGCGUUGCGUGGCCCGACUUGCUCGGUGUCCUGCUGCGUGUUUAGGUUGAUGUGGCGGUUGGUCGCUAACGCGGGGUUCUGCCUUUGCGCGGGGUUCGGUUGCGUGUGCUGCGUGCGGCGUCGGAGGCGUGCCUCUUGGUGUCGUGCGUGGUGCUGUUGCCGUCUCCUGCUAGAGCUCCCUCUCGGUGUGAAAAGUCGACCACCUAUCCGACCCGUCUUGAAACACGGACCAAGAAGUCUAGUACGUGCGCGAGUCAUUGAGUGGAAAACUUAUAUGGCGCAAUGAAAGUAAAGGGUAGCGUUGGUUGCCUGAUAUGUGAUCCGUGGGCUUGCUCGCGGCGCAACAUAGCCCCAUGCUAAUCGCUUGCGAUGGUGUGGAGGUAGAGCGUACGUACUGGGACCCGAAAGAUGGUGAACUAUGCUUGAGCAGGGCGAAGUCAGAGGAAACUCUGAUGGAGGCCCGCAGCGGUUCUGACGUGCAAAUCGAUCGUCGGACUUGAGUAUAGGGGCGAAAGACUAAUCGAACCAUC